UGAUUCAGCGGCGGACGGGUGAGUAAUGCCUAGGAAUCUGCCUGGUAGUGGGGGACAACGUUUCGAAAGGAACGCUAAUACCGCAUACGUCCUACGGGAGAAAGUGGGGGAUCUUCGGACCUCACGCUAUCAGAUGAGCCUAGGUCGGAUUAGCUAGUUGGUGAGGUAAAGGCUCACCAAGGCGACGAUCCGUAACUGGUCUGAGAGGAUGAUCAGUCACACUGGAACUGAGACACGGUCCAGACUCCUACGGGAGGCAGCAGUGGGGAAUAUUGGACAAUGGGCGAAAGCCUGAUCCAGCCAUGCCGCGUGUGUGAAGAAGGUCUUCGGAUUGUAAAGCACUUUAAGUUGGGAGGAAGGGCAGUAAGUUAAUACCUUGCUGUUUUGACGUUACCAACAGAAUAAGCACCGGCUAACUUCGUGCCAGCAGCCGCGGUAAUACGAAGGGUGCAAGCGUUAAUCGGAAUUACUGGGCGUAAAGCGCGCGUAGGUGGUUCGUUAAGUUGGAUGUGAAAGCCCCGGGCUCAACCUGGGAACUGCAUCCAAAACUGGCGAGCUAGAGUAUGGCAGAGGGUGGUGGAAUUUCCUGUGUAGCGGUGAAAUGCGUAGAUAUAGGAAGGAACACCAGUGGC
RNAcentral lists this ribosomal RNA (632 nucleotides) under Stutzerimonas stutzeri. Its description in RNAcentral is "bacterial SSU rRNA". It matches the Rfam family "Bacterial small subunit ribosomal RNA", at positions 88 to 716 of the family's 1533-position model. The record is from RNAcentral. Lineage: Bacteria; Pseudomonadati; Pseudomonadota; Gammaproteobacteria; Pseudomonadales; Pseudomonadaceae.